GACGAACGCUGGCGGCGUGCCUAAUACAUGCAAGUCGAGCGAUGAUUAAAGAUAGCUUGCUAUUUUUAUGAAGAGCGGCGAACGGGUGAGUAACGCGUGGGAAAUCUGCCGAGUAGCGGGGGACAACGUUUGGAAACGAACGCUAAUACCGCAUAACAAUGAGAAUCGCAUGAUUCUUAUUUGAAAGAAGCAAUUGCUUCACUACUUGAUGAUCCCGCGUUGUAUUAGCUAGUUGGUAGUGUAAAGGACUACCAAGGCGAUGAUACAUAGCCGACCUGAGAGGGUGAUCGGCCACACUGGGACUGAGACACGGCCCAGACUCCUACGGGAGGCAGCAGUAGGGAAUCUUCGGCAAUGGGGGCAACCCUGACCGAGCAACGCCGCGUGAGUGAAGAAGGUUUUCGGAUCGUAAAACUCUGUUGUUAGAGAAGAACGUUAAGUAGAGUGGAAAAUUACUUAAGUGACGGUAUCUAACCAGGAAGGGACGGCUAACUACGUGCCAGCCGCCGCGUAA
This 514-nucleotide ribosomal RNA is filed under the name uncultured bacterium. RNAcentral's name for it is "partial 16S ribosomal RNA". It matches the Rfam family "Bacterial small subunit ribosomal RNA", at positions 28 to 522 of the family's 1533-position model. The record is from RNAcentral.